This is a long non-coding RNA of Oncorhynchus tshawytscha (Chinook salmon), 2867 nucleotides long. The record is from Ensembl. NCBI's taxonomy places the organism in Eukaryota, Metazoa, Chordata, Actinopteri, Salmoniformes, Salmonidae.
GUGACACGCAAGCAGUAGCAGAGAACCUCCUCUAGGGGUGGCAUGACACGCAGGCAGUAGCAGAGAACCUCCUCUAGGGUGGCAUGACACCCAGGCAGAAGCAGAGAACCUCCUCUAAGGGUGGCAUGACACUCAGGCAGUAGCAGAGAACUUCCUCUAGGGUGGCAUGACACUCAGGCAGUAGCAGAGAACCUCCUCUAGGGUGGCAUGACACCCAGGCAGAAGCAGAGAACCUCCUCUAGGGGUGGCAUGACACCCAGGCAGUAGCAGAGAACCUCCUCUAAGGGGUGGCAUGACACCCAGGCAGUAGCAGAGAACUUCCUCUAGGGUGGCAUGACACCCAGGCAGUAGCAGAGAACUUCCUCUAGGAAAGCAUGACACCCAGGCAGUAGCAGAGAACCUCCUCUAGGGUGGCAUGACACCCAGGCAGAAGCAGAGAACCUCCUCUAGGGGUGGCAUGACACCCAGGCAGUAGCAGAGAACUUCAUCUAGGGUAGCAUGACACCCAGGCAGUAGCAGAGAACUUCAUCUAGGGUGGCAUGACACCCAGGCAGUAGCAGAGAACUUCAUCUAGGGUAGCAUGACACCCAGGCAGUAGCAGAGAACCUCCUCUAAGGGUGGCAUGACACUCAGGCAGAAGCAGAGAACCUCCUCUAGGGUAGAAUGACACCCAGGCAGUAGCAGAGAACCUCCUCUAGGGGUGGCAUGACACCCAGGCAGUAGCAGAGAACCUCUAAGGGGUGGCAUGACACCCAGGGAGUAGCAGAGAACCUCCUCUAGGGGUGACAUGACACCCAGGCAGUAGCAGAGAACCUCCUCUAGGGGUGACAUGACACCCAGGCAGUAGCAGAGAACCUCCUCUAGGGUGGCAUGACACCCAGGCAGAAGCAGAGAACCUCCUCUAGGGGUGGCAUGACACCCAGGCAGUAGCAGAGAACCUCCUCUAAGGGUGGCAUGACACUCAGGCAGAAGCAGAGAACCUCCUCUAGGGUAGAAUGACACCCAGGCAGUAGCAGAGAACCUCCUCUAGGGGUGGCAUGACACCCAGGCAGUAGCAGAGAACCUCUAAGGGGUGGCAUGACACCCAGGGAGUAGCAGAGAACCUCCUCUAGGGGUGACAUGACACCCAGGCAGUAGCAGAGAACCUCCUCUAGGGGUGACAUGACACCCAGGCAGUAGCAGAGAACCUCCUCUAGGGGUGACAUGACACCCAGGCAGUAGCAGAUAACCCAGUCGAGGUAUCAAACGCAGCGACAGGAGAUUGAGGGUAGGAGAGGGUAUGACCCAACAUUUUUACUUAUGCUCUAUUGGAAUAAGAGUUGGCAUAAGGCAGACCUGGCAGAUAUUAGAGAGCUGGUGAGCUUUCCUGCAGCCUAGCCUAAUGGAUAUAUUAUCUGGGGAGCCAGUUUCCCAGCUUCAAGUGUGUGUGUGUGUGCGUGUGUGUGUGCGUGUGUGUGUGGUAUGGUCUGUGUUUGUAAAUGUUCAGACUUUUAAUAUAUAAAAACAUCCUUUUCAAGUCAUUACUUCAGAGUCAUAAGUUAUUGUUCUAAUAUCACUUAGUUUGUCAGGCAUCAAUCUUAGCCUGUGUGUGUGCAUGAUGAGGGGGGUCUCGUCUAGACUAAGCGAGCUGUUAGUGAUUCUUAGUAAGGAUUAUUUCUCUUUCUGAAAGGAGCAACCCCUUAAACCUCUAUCCCCCCAACCUUACCCUCCCCUAAUUUACAAGCUGACUGAGGGAGGAUUUGUGACUGAUGGGCCCUUCACCUCUGACCUGCCAUUUAUAUCAAUGAGACACCUACCGUAAAGACUCUCCGAGGCGGUUUUGCGAACACAAAUUAAGCCUAGCCCUGGACAUGGAGAUUCUCCAUUGAGCUUACUUUUGGGUCCAGGGUGGCAGGUAGCAUAGUGGUUAGAGUGUUGGGCCAAUAACCAAAAGGUUUCUGGAUUGAAUCCCCGAGCUGACAAGGUAUAAAUCUGUCCUUCUGCCCCUGAACAAGACAGUUAACCCACUGUUCCUCGGUACGCCGACAUUGUACAAUUUGAGGAACAGUUUGAGAACGAGAGGAACUACAAGGUAAGAAAAAUACUUAAAUAUGAGGAACAAGUUAGUGUUAAGAAAUAUUGUUAACUGUGAAGUAUAUUAAAAAAUCUGUGUUUGGAAAACUGUCCUUCAGAGUAGGAGAGCAGAUCUUGGAUCAGGUCCCACCCCCUGUCCAUAUAAUUGUAUUAAUUAUGAUCUUAAAGACAACACUGAUCCUAUAUCAGCACUCCUACUCUGAGAAUCUUUGUGGGUAUGGUUCUUGGGAUCAUAGAGGUAGGAAUUGCUGACUGUACCCACUAUCAGGCAGCACUUUGUUGUUGUUUUGGAUCACAUGCCUGAUUCAAUGGUUUGCUUGUUGCCCUUUUUAGGUCAACUGUGAUUUGAGGUGCAGGUCAGUGCUUGAAUAUAAUGCAACCUCUGAUUCUAUGCAGCUAUUUUUAUCCAGCUAUCUCUAGCCAAUGUCUCAUUUACGCUCCGAUGCCACUGGUGGUGAAAAUUCCAUUGACUGAGUGCUCAAGUCAAUCAAAUAUGCAUUGUAUUCACACAGUGGCUCAUUUUCCUAUGGUCAAAUAAAAUUAUAAAAUAAUCACAUGUAAGUGCUUCCAGUUUUCAGAAUAAGACGUUUUCUGCGAUGGCAGCAGUUUGUAAAAAAAAAUGUGCUGUGUAACAUUGCUACAGCGGGUUCACUGGGUUUAAGCAUUUAACCUCUUUCAGAUGCUUUUCCAUUGAAGAACUCUGUUUGUUUACUACUCCCCAUGAACACAGACACUGCAUGGUGGGUUUGAUUGAAUUAUAUUUGAUUUGUUUUUUUGUGUCUCCCUCUUAUCAG